UACGGAGACUGCAAGCGUUACUCGGAUUCACUGGGCGUAAAGCGUGCGUAGGCUGUCAGGUAUGUCAGGUGUGAAAGCCCGGGGCUCAACCCCGGAAAUGCGCCUGAAACUACUUGGCUUGAGUCUUGGAGAGGGAGGCGGAAUUUCUGGUGUAGCGGUGAAAUGCGUAGAUAUCAGAAGGAACACCAAAGGCGAAGGCAGCCUCCUGGACAAGUACUGACGCUGAGGUACGAAAGCGUGGGUAGCAAAAGGG
RNAcentral lists this ribosomal RNA (253 nucleotides) under uncultured bacterium. Its description in RNAcentral is "partial 16S ribosomal RNA". It matches the Rfam family "Bacterial small subunit ribosomal RNA", at positions 524 to 776 of the family's 1533-position model. The record is from RNAcentral.